Long non-coding RNA from Schistocerca gregaria, 286 nucleotides. RefSeq lists it as uncharacterized. The transcript is spliced from 3 exons. Lineage: Eukaryota; Metazoa; Arthropoda; Insecta; Orthoptera; Acrididae. The record is from RefSeq and is a predicted model, not a curated record.
CGCCAACAUUCGCAACUGGCUGCAAGCACAGCCACACUUGCCCGAUGUCAUAGAUGACGAGCGGCUGGAACGCCUGUACAUCAGCUGUAAAUGCUGGACCGAGAGAGUCAAGCAGAUACUGGACGUUACCUACACGCUAAAGAACAAGUUCCCCGAAUACAUGCUGAACAGAGAUCCGCUAGGCGAAGACAUUAUCACAGCUCUGAAAUGCGGUAAAGUUCCGACGAUGCCUCGUCUCACACCGCGGUUUCACCGUGUUGGAGUCCUCGGUGACAUCGACCCUGAC